UGUCUAUUAAUUGUAGACCUGUAUGAAAGGCAAAAUGAGGGUUUAACUGUCUCUUAUAACAAAUCAAUUAAACUGAUCUCCCAGUAAAAAAGCUGGAAUACCCACAUAAGACCAGAAGACCCUGUGAAGCUUUAACUAAACUAUUAAACCUUAUAAUAACUACUUUAGGUUGGGGCGACCUUGGAAAAAAAAAGAACUUCCAAAAAGUGAUUAUAACUCACCUCCUAGGCCUACAAGCCACCCAAAUGACCCAGCACAGCUGAUAAUCGAACCAAGUUACUCCAGGGAUAACAGCGCUAUCUUCUUCAAGAGCCCAUAUCAAAAAGAAGGUUUACGACCUCGAUGUUGGAUCAGGACAUCCUAAUGGUGCA
RNAcentral lists this ribosomal RNA (371 nucleotides) under Uromacer oxyrhynchus. Its description in RNAcentral is "partial 16S ribosomal RNA". It matches the Rfam family "Bacterial large subunit ribosomal RNA", at positions 1970 to 2557 of the family's 2925-position model. The record is from RNAcentral. Lineage: Eukaryota; Metazoa; Chordata; Lepidosauria; Squamata; Dipsadidae.